This 36-nucleotide non-coding RNA is filed under the name unclassified sequences. The record is from Rfam.
UAGGCGGAUUCUGAAAAGCCUUGGAGAGAGUAGGAG